Molecule: ribosomal RNA, 250 nt
Filed under: uncultured bacterium
Lineage: Bacteria
Description: partial 16S ribosomal RNA
Rfam family: Bacterial small subunit ribosomal RNA
Source: RNAcentral
UACGGAGGAUCCAAGCGUUAUCCGGAAUCAUUGGGUUUAAAGGGUCCGUAGGCGGUCCUGUAAGUCAGUGGUGAAAGCCCAUCGCUCAACGGUGGAACGGCCAUUGAUACUGCAGGACUUGAAUUACUGGGAAGCAACUAGAAUAUGUAGUGUAGCGGUGAAAUGCUUAGAUAUUACAUGGAAUACCAAUUGCGAAGGCAGGUUGCUACCAGUGUAUUGACGCUGAUGGACGAAAGCGUGGGUAGCGAAC